CAGGUCCACUCUCCACUCUCAAGAAGGGGCCAGAGUGUUUUUUUUUUUUACAUUUUACAUCUACUCCAUACACCAAUCACUCAUGGGCCAUGGCCCGGGACAUGGGACUUCGAGCAUCUAACGUGUAAAUUGGAAAUGGGAGGUGAGCAAAAACCAAUUGCUAGUUUGCUUUCUUUGCCUAUAUUAACACCAUCUAGAAAGCCAUCGUCUUCAACCGCUCCUGUCUGUGGUGUGUAAUAGAUGAGAGAAACGGAGAGUCUUAGCAAGUCUUUGGAGAUGGGAGAGUAUGCAAGAAGGAAAAAUUCAUGAUUUAAUAUCCCUUCUUGCCUACUCCUCCCAUUCCAUCUGCUUUCUGCGACUCCUCUCUUUCCUUAUUCUAGACAAAAGCGUGAUCUCAAAUUAAUCAAGGAGCAAGAGGGAAAGGAAAGAGGGUUGCUGGGAGUUACGGGUAUGGGAGGAUUGGACAGGACUGCUUGGUUUUAAUCAACCAAAGUCUGUUCUUUCCAACGCCUCCCAUACCGGUGAUCUCCAGCUGUUUCCUCCCUUUCCCUUGCUUGUCCUGCUUCAGAUCCUUCAGUUUGGUAAGAUCUGCCCCUGUAUGCAUGUCGUUGGUCUCAUGAUGAUGAUGAUGAUGAUGGCUCUUCUUUUGUUGUUGAAAAAAAAAAAUCGUUUCGUUGACUUGUUAAUCUUGCUUUUACUCGGGAUAUUAUUGUGUGUCUUGUUGAAAGAUUUUAUUGCCCUUUUUUUUUGCUCAGGUGCCAGAAGCGAGUUGUUGGUUAUGGAGUAUCAUCAUUGAGAAUAAAGGAAGUUGAGAUCUGGAGGUAGAUCUGAGUAAAACAUUUGUCAUUCCAGCUCAAUUUAAUAUUAGCAACUGAUAAAGCAUGUGUUUUGAAAUGACAACUGCGAUAGUCACAACAUAUCUGUUCACGCCUCUUCGACUCCGGGGAUUCUGACUCAGUUAGUUCUAUACUGCAACGGUUAAGUAUCUCUGAUGCUCAUGGAUCUGGUCUUGGACUUUGGAAUUUAUAUUGAUCUUCAGCCCCCGCGCAUCCGCUACUAUGGAUGACCCCGACCUGAGUCAUACGACGGACGGAUGAUGCAUAUCCUACGGGUGUGGUCAGCUUUGUUU
This 1129-nucleotide small RNA is filed under the name Populus alba (white poplar). RNAcentral's name for it is "miR482-miR1448 polycistron non-coding RNA". The record is from RNAcentral. Lineage: Eukaryota; Viridiplantae; Streptophyta; Magnoliopsida; Malpighiales; Salicaceae.